Molecule: ribosomal RNA, 253 nt
Filed under: uncultured bacterium
Lineage: Bacteria
Description: partial 16S ribosomal RNA
Rfam family: Bacterial small subunit ribosomal RNA
Source: RNAcentral
UACGUAGGGUGCAAGCGUUAAUCGGAAUUACUGGGCGUAAAGCGUGCGCAGGCGGCUUUGCAAGACAGAUGUGAAAUCCCCGGGCUUAACCUGGGAACUGCAUUUGUGACUGCAUGGCUAGAGUACGGCAGAGGGGGAUGGAAUUCCGCGUGUAGCAGUGAAAUGCGUAGAUAUGCGGAGGAACACCGAUGGCGAAGGCAAUCCCCUGGGCCUGUACUGACGCUCAUGCACGAAAGCGUGGGGAGCAAACAGG